UCCGCUAUGGUGUAGUGGCUAACGAUAUCGCCUCUCAUAUACUGUUUCGCGGGGCUUGUGCAGGAGUGCGAUAGCUGAGGGUUCGAUUCUCUGUAACGGAA
Non-coding RNA from Paramarasmius palmivorus, 101 nucleotides. NCBI's taxonomy places the organism in Eukaryota, Fungi, Basidiomycota, Agaricomycetes, Agaricales, Marasmiaceae. The record is from the annotation of a GenBank genome assembly.